AUAUCUCUCCGUACGGGAAGGAUGAGAAGCUUCGACUAAGGUUCGAUUCGAGCGCAGCGAGAAAGCGUUGCCGCAGGCAACGACCCGAAGGGCGAAGCGCGC
RNAcentral lists this small RNA (102 nucleotides) under Salmonella enterica. RNAcentral's name for it is "partial RtT sRNA". It matches the Rfam family "RtT RNA", at positions 1 to 101 of the family's 130-position model. From Rfam's summary of the family: This family represents a bacterial cis-regulatory element known as RtT RNA. The exact function of RtT is unknown although it is thought that it may be involved in changing the cellular response in relation to amino acid starvation. The record is from RNAcentral. RNAcentral also lists the same sequence under 2 other names. Lineage: Bacteria; Pseudomonadati; Pseudomonadota; Gammaproteobacteria; Enterobacterales; Enterobacteriaceae.